Molecule: ribosomal RNA, 450 nt
Filed under: uncultured bacterium
Lineage: Bacteria
Description: bacterial SSU rRNA
Rfam family: Bacterial small subunit ribosomal RNA
Source: RNAcentral
GUAGGGAAUAUUGCGCAAUGGACGAAAGUCUGACGCAGCAACGCCGCGUGGAUGAUGAAGCAUUUCGGUGUGUAAAAUCCUGUCGGUGGGGAAGAAACGUCUGGUGAGUAACUGCUCCAGGCUUGACGGUACCCACAGAGGAAGUCCCGGCUAACUCCGUGCCAGCAGCCGCGGUAAUACGGGGGGGACGAGCGUUGUUCGGAUUUACUGGGCGUAAAGGGCGCGUAGGCGGGUCUUCAAGUCGGAUGUGAAAACUAUCAGCUUAACUGGUAGCCUGCAUUUGAUACUGUUGAUCUUGAGUACGGGAGAGGAGAGUGGAAUUCCAGGUGUAGCGGUGAAAUGCGUAGAUAUCUGGAAGAACACCAGUAGCGAAGGCGGCUCUCUGGACCGAUACUGACGCUCAAGCGCGAAGGCUUGGGGAGCAAACAGGAUUAGAAACCCCAGUAGUCC